GACGAACGCUGGCGGCGUGCUUAGCACAUGCAAGUCGAACGGUGAAGCGCCUUCCUUUUUGGUGGGUGUGGAUGAGUGGCGAACGGGUGAGUAACACGUGAGUAACCUGCCCCCUUCUUCUGGAUAACCGCAUGAAAGUGUGGCUAAUACGGGAUAUUCUGGGUCUGUCGCAUGAUGGGUCUGGGAAAGAUAUUGUUUCGGUGGGGGAUGGGCUCGCGGCCUAUCAGCUUGUUGGUGGGGUGAUGGCCUACCAAGGCGGUGACGGGUAGCCGGCCUGAGAGGGUGGACAGUCACACUGGGACUGAGACACGGCCCAGACUCCUACGGGAGGCAGCAGUGGGGAAUAUUGCACAAUGGGCGCAAGCCUGAUGCAGCGACGCCGCGUGAGGGAUGGAGGCCUUCGGGUUGUGAACCUCUUUCGCCAGUGAAGCAGGCCUGCCUCGUUUGUGGGUGGGUUGACGGUAGCUGGAUAAGAAGCGCCGGCUAACUACGUG
RNAcentral lists this ribosomal RNA (494 nucleotides) under uncultured bacterium. Its description in RNAcentral is "partial 16S ribosomal RNA". It matches the Rfam family "Bacterial small subunit ribosomal RNA", at positions 28 to 507 of the family's 1533-position model. The record is from RNAcentral.